CAGUAGCCGCGGGAAUACGUAGGUGGCAAGCGUUGUCCGGAAUUAUUGGGCGUAAAGCGCGCGCAGGCGGCCUAUCCAGUCUGUCUUAAAAGUUCGGGGCUCAACCCCGUGAUGGGAUGGAAACUAGUAGGCUAGAGUAUCGGAGAGGAAAGCGGAAUUCCUAGUGUAGCGGUGAAAUGCGUAGACAUUAGGAAGAACACCAGUGGCGAAGGCGGCUUUCUGGACGAAAACUGACGCGGAGGCGCGAAAGCCAGGGGAGCGAACGGGAUUAGAUACCCCUGUAGUCCCUGUCUCUUAUACC
This 301-nucleotide ribosomal RNA is filed under the name uncultured bacterium. RNAcentral describes it as "partial 16S ribosomal RNA". It matches the Rfam family "Bacterial small subunit ribosomal RNA", at positions 509 to 808 of the family's 1533-position model. The record is from RNAcentral.